RNAcentral lists this ribosomal RNA (386 nucleotides) under uncultured bacterium. RNAcentral describes it as "bacterial SSU rRNA". It matches the Rfam family "Bacterial small subunit ribosomal RNA", at positions 28 to 417 of the family's 1533-position model. The record is from RNAcentral.
GACGAACGCUGGCGGCGUGCUUAACACAUGCAAGUCGAGCGGUAAGGCCCUUCGGGGUACACGAGCGGCGAACGGGUGAGUAACACGUGGGUAACCUGCCCUCAGCUCUGGGAUAAGCCCGGGAAACUGGGUCUAAUACCGGAUAUCACCUUGGGAGGCAUCUUCCGGGGUUGAAAGUUUUUGGCGGCUGAGGAUGGGCCCGCGGCCUAUCAGCUUGUUGGGUGGGGUAGUGGCCUACCAAGGCGACGACGGGGAGCCGGCCUGAGAGGGCGACCGGCCACACUGGGACUGAGACACGGCCCAGACUCCUACGGGAGGCAGCAGUGGGGAAUAUUGCACAAUGGCGAAAGCCUGAUGCAGCGACGCCGCGUGAGGGAUGACGGCCU